AUUGAACGCUGGCGGCAGGCCUAACACAUGCAAGUCGAACGGUAGCACAGAGGGCUUGCUCUCGGGUGACGAGUGGCGGACGGGUGAGUAACGUCUGGGAAACUGCCCGAUGGAGGGGGAUAACUACUGGAAACGGUAGCUAAUACCGCAUAACGUCGCAAGACCAAAGUGGGGGACCUUCGGGCCUCACACCAUCGGAUGUGCCCAGAUGGGAUUAGCUAGUAGGUGGGGUAAUGGCUCACCUAGGCGACGAUCCCUAGCUGGUCUGAGAGGAUGACCAGCCACACUGGAACUGGGCCACGGUCCAGACUCCUACGGAAGGCAGCAGUGGGGAAUAUUGCACAAUGGGCGCAAGCCUGAUGCAGCCAUGCCGCGUGUAUGAAGAAGGCCUUCGGGUUGUAAAGUACUUUCAGCGGGGAGGAAGGCGGUGAAGUUAAUAGCUUAACCGAUUGACGUUACCCGCAGAAGAAGCACCGGCUAACUCCGUGCCAGCCGCCGCCGUAA
RNAcentral lists this ribosomal RNA (504 nucleotides) under uncultured bacterium. Its description in RNAcentral is "partial 16S ribosomal RNA". It matches the Rfam family "Bacterial small subunit ribosomal RNA", at positions 30 to 523 of the family's 1533-position model. The record is from RNAcentral.